CGGAGCGUAGCGCAGCCUGGUUAGCGCACCAGUCUGGGGGACGUGGGGGUCGGAGGUUCAAAUCCUCUCGCUCCGA
RNAcentral lists this transfer RNA (76 nucleotides) under Hyphomicrobium nitrativorans NL23. RNAcentral's name for it is "Hyphomicrobium sp. NL23 tRNA". It matches the Rfam family "tRNA". Rfam says of the family: Transfer RNA (tRNA) molecules are approximately 80 nucleotides in length. Their secondary structure includes four short double-helical elements and three loops (D, anti-codon, and T loops). Lineage: Bacteria; Pseudomonadati; Pseudomonadota; Alphaproteobacteria; Hyphomicrobiales; Hyphomicrobiaceae. The record is from Rfam by way of RNAcentral.